RNAcentral lists this long non-coding RNA (331 nucleotides) under Pan troglodytes (chimpanzee). RNAcentral's name for it is "long non-coding RNA NONPTRT018498". Lineage: Eukaryota; Metazoa; Chordata; Mammalia; Primates; Hominidae. The record is from RNAcentral.
AAAGAGAUUGAAUCUACAACUCAUUGGCAUCCCUGAAAGAGAUGAGGCGAGUGUAAGCAACAUGGAAAAUAUAUUUUAGGUUAGCAUACAUGAGAACUUUCCUAACCUAGAUAGAGAGGCCAAAGUGACAGAUCACUUACAAAAAGAGGCCCAUCAGAUUAAUAGCAGACCUCUCAGCAGAAACCCUACAAACCAAAACAGAUUGGGGGCCUAUAUUAAAUCUUCUUAAAGAAAAUAAAUUUCAACUCAGAAUUUUAUAUCCGGCCAAAGGAUAAAUAAGAUCCAUUUCACAUGAACAAAUGCUGAAAAAAGUAGUUACCACCAGACCUGC